Molecule: transfer RNA, 80 nt
Filed under: Streptomyces hesseae
Lineage: Bacteria; Bacillati; Actinomycetota; Actinomycetes; Kitasatosporales; Streptomycetaceae
Also listed under: 1 other name
Description: Streptomyces sp. DSM 40473 tRNA-Asp
Rfam family: tRNA (bases 4-74)
About the family: Transfer RNA (tRNA) molecules are approximately 80 nucleotides in length.
Source: RNAcentral
GACGGGGUCGUAGCACAGAGGUAAUGCGCCGCGAUGUCAUCCCGGAGGACGUCGGUUCGAAUCCGACCGCCCCGUCCCCA